CGGGGCUUAAAGUCUUGUAAUUGGAAUGAUGGGAAUUUAAACCUCUUCCAGAGUAUCAAUUGGAGGGCAAGUCUGGUGCCAGCAGCCGCGGUAAUUCCAGCUCCAAUAGCGUAUAUUAAAAUUGUUGCAGUUAAAAAGCUCGUAGUUGAAUUUCUGCUGCAUUGCUUGUGUCCCUCUGGGGUCUGUGCAUGUGGGUUUUUUCGGACGGAGUUUCUUUGUCUGAAUGUUUACUUUGAGAAAAUUAGAGUGCUCAAAGCAGGCUUUCGCCUUGAAUAGUUUAGCAUGGAAUAAUAAAGUAGGACUUUGGUUCUAUUUUGUUGGUUUUAGGUACCAAAGUAAUGGUUAAUAGGAACAGUUGGGGGCAUUCGUAUUUAACUGUCAGAGGUGAAAUUCUUAGAUUUGUUAAAGACGAACUACUGCGAAAGCAUUUGCCAAGGAUGUUUUCAUUAAUCAAGAAC
RNAcentral lists this ribosomal RNA (458 nucleotides) under Theileria annulata. Its description in RNAcentral is "SSU rRNA". It matches the Rfam family "Eukaryotic small subunit ribosomal RNA", at positions 486 to 984 of the family's 1831-position model. Lineage: Eukaryota; Apicomplexa; Aconoidasida; Piroplasmida; Theileriidae. The record is from RNAcentral.